AAUUCCGUAAACGAAGCCCAAAGU
This 24-nucleotide non-coding RNA is filed under the name Drosophila melanogaster (fruit fly). Lineage: Eukaryota; Metazoa; Arthropoda; Insecta; Diptera; Drosophilidae. The record is from RNAcentral.